AGAGUUUGAUUAUGGCUCAGGAUGGACGCUAGCGAUAGGCCUAACACAUGCAAGUCGAGGGGCAGCACAUGAAGUAGCAAUACGGAUGGUGGCGACCGGCGCACGGGUGAGUAACGCGUAUGCAACCUGCCUACAACAGGGGAAUAACCCGUUGAAAGACGGACUAAUACCCCAUAACACAGGGAUCCCGCAUGGGAAUAUUUGUUAAAGAUUUAUCGGUUGUAGAUGGGCAUGCGUUCCAUUAGCUUGUUGGUGAGGUAACGGCUCACCAAGGCAACGAUGGAUAGGGGAACUGAGAGGUUUAUCCCCCACACUGGUACUGAGACACGGACCAGACUCCUACGGGAGGCAGCAGUGAGGAAUAUUGGUCAAUGGACGCAAGUCUGAACCAGCCACGUCGCGUGAAGGAAGACGGCCCUACGGGUUGUAAACUUCUUUUGUAAGGGAAUAAAGUGUAGUACGUGUACUAUUUUGCAUGUACCUUACGAAUAAGGAUCGGCUAACUCCGUGCCAGCAGCCGCGGUAAUACGGAGGAUCCGAGCGUUAUCCGGAUUUAUUGGGUUUAAAGGGUGCGCAGGCGGGAGAUUAAGUCGGCGGUGAAAUUUUGCAGCUCAACUGUAAAAGUGCCUUCGAAACUGGUUUCCUUGAGUGUGGAUGAAGUAGGCGGAAUUUGUGGUGUAGCGGUGAAAUGCAUAGAUAUCACGAGGAACUCCGAUUGCGCAGGCAGCUUACUAAACCAUAACUGACGCUCAGGCACGAAGGCGUGGGGAUCAAACAGGAUUAGAUACCCUGGUAGUC
This 798-nucleotide ribosomal RNA is filed under the name uncultured Porphyromonadaceae bacterium. RNAcentral's name for it is "bacterial SSU rRNA". It matches the Rfam family "Bacterial small subunit ribosomal RNA", at positions 8 to 795 of the family's 1533-position model. Lineage: Bacteria; Pseudomonadati; Bacteroidota; Bacteroidia; Bacteroidales; Porphyromonadaceae. The record is from RNAcentral.